This 429-nucleotide ribosomal RNA is filed under the name Pseudomonadota bacterium. RNAcentral's name for it is "Proteobacteria bacterium partial 16S ribosomal RNA". It matches the Rfam family "Bacterial small subunit ribosomal RNA", at positions 355 to 776 of the family's 1533-position model. The record is from RNAcentral. Lineage: Bacteria; Pseudomonadati; Pseudomonadota.
UGGGGAAUAUUGGACAAUGGGCGAAAGCCUGAUCCAGCCAUGCCGCGUGUGUGAAGAAGGUCUUCGGAUUGUAAAGCACUUUAAGUUGGGAGGAAGGGCAGUAAGCGAAUACCUUGCUGUUUUGACGUUGCCGACAGAAUAAGCACCGGCUAACUCUGUGCCAGCAGCCGCGGUAAUACAGAGGGUGCAAGCGUUAAUCGGAAUUACUGGGCGUAAAGCGCGCGUAGGUGGUUCGUUAAGUUGAAUGUGAAAGCCCCGGGCUCAACCUGGGAACGGCAUCCAAAACUGGAGAGAUAGAGUAGGGCAGAGGGUGGUGGAAUUUCCUGUGUAGCGGUGAAAUGCGUAGAUAUAGGAAGGAAAACCAGUGGCGAAGGCGACCACCUGGGCUCAUACUGACACUGAGGUGCGAAAGCGUGGGGAGCAAACAGG